This 429-nucleotide ribosomal RNA is filed under the name Chloroflexota bacterium. RNAcentral's name for it is "Chloroflexi bacterium partial 16S ribosomal RNA". It matches the Rfam family "Bacterial small subunit ribosomal RNA", at positions 355 to 776 of the family's 1533-position model. Lineage: Bacteria; Bacillati; Chloroflexota. The record is from RNAcentral.
UGGGGAAUAUUGCACAAUGGGCGCAAGCCUGAUGCAGCCAUGCCGCGUGUAUGAAGAAGGCCUUCGGGUUGUAAAGUACUUUCAGCGGGGAGGAAGGGAGUAAAGUUAAUACCUUUGCUCAUUGACGUUACCCGCAGAAGAAGCACCGGCUAACUCCGUGCCAGCAGCCGCGGUAAUACGGAGGGUGCAAGCGGUAAUCGGAAUUACUGGGCGUAAAGCGCACGCAGGCGGUUUGUUAAGUCAGAUGUGAAAUCCCCGGGCUCAACCUGGGAACUGCAUCUGAUACUGGCAAGCUUGAGUCUCGUAGAGGGGGGUAGAAUUCCAGGUGUAGCGGUGAAAUGCGUAGGGAUCUGGAGGAAUACCGGUGGCGAAGGCGGCCCCCUGGACGAAGACUGACGCUCAGGUUCGAAAGCGUGGGGAGCAAACAGG